UGGAUCAAAAGUUAUAGAAUAACAAAAUUUUUACCUACGACAACAGUUAUUUUUUAUUUGUAACCUAUGAGGUAGGUAUAACCUAUGAUAGCGGUUAUUUAUAAUCACUGUGGUAGGUUGGAUCUAUGACGGUGGUUAUCUAUAAUUGCUGUCAUAAGUUAUGCCUACCACAUUGGUUAUAAUAAUCACUGCCAUAGGUCCGACGGUUAUCCGUAACUGCUACCAUAGGUUAUGCCUACUGCAGC
This 245-nucleotide long non-coding RNA is filed under the name Elaeis guineensis (African oil palm). RNAcentral's name for it is "long non-coding RNA (EGUI_LNC002592)". Lineage: Eukaryota; Viridiplantae; Streptophyta; Magnoliopsida; Arecales; Arecaceae. The record is from RNAcentral.